AACAAUAAGUCCAACACAACAAUAAAUCCAACAUAAUAUCAAUAGAGCAUCAAUACCAUAUCAUCACAACAAAAUAUCAAAAAAUAGAGUAAGUUUUACAAUAAUAUAAUCACAAUAAUAUAGAAAGUUCUGUUUAAUUUAAAAUUUACAAAAAUGUAAUAUCAUAUUCUCCUCCUGGUCCCUCGACCACGUCUACCUAUACGUCCCCUACCUCGACCGCGACCACGAUCAACACCAUGCUCAUCGAAGGGCUCUAUGACUUCCAACUGGUCGAGACUCGAGAUGUUCGAUAGCAGCACCUUCAACAACUGGCUGAGUGUCCUGCGUCUCGAUCACCUGUCUAAUCUCAUACUCAACCAUAGCAGCUGUCGGUAGUAUGUCUGGCCGUGGUGGAGCUCUAUAAGUCUUUAUUUUAAAAAAUGAACUACCUUUCAGUUGAGAGGCAUGUAAUCUCCAUGGGCAAGAAUUGACUACAUAUCUCAUAAUAUAUCUAAUUGUAUUGGACUUAACAACUUUAAAUUGCACAUUAUGUGCGAUGUACCAAGCUUCCAAAAUGUUCACCAAGGAUGAUUUAUCAGAAAAUGUUCGAUUAGCCCAUACCUCAUCACUUAGAGGACUCUGAUCAAUAGUUUGUUCACUAUAUGCAUCAACAACGGUUUGAUGAAUUAAUUCAUUACCUAGGAGAAACCGUUGUCGUUGAUCUUCAAAUUCUUCGAAUUCCACCGAGUUCUGCACAUCAUCGUUGUUGAUAUUUGAAUUUUUAAUCCAUUCAACACCUUCAUCUUGAAUGGCGCAUGUGAGUGUAUUCAAACCACCGUCAUGAGUAGGAUCCAAAGAAUGCGGAACAAAGGAUUCCUCAUCAUCACUAGAAUCAGUAUCAAUUCGCCUUUAAUCUUCUUCAUCACUUUCAAUAACAUACUCCUCAUCACUUCCAAUUACGUCCUCAUUAUCAAUUGCAGUUCUCACUUUCCAAUCGGUCCAUUCACAAACACUAGAUGAUGAACCCUCACUUUAAUUAUGAGGGAUAGUAAACCUAGAAAGAUAUUUAAGAUUAAGUAUUCGCAUUGGUCCAAUUUUUAUAUAACUCAAUCAUACAAUUACCUACCGCUCAUUUUGACCAACCAACAGAGACGGAUCCAUUAUACUAGAUGGCAAUGAUGCACUAACUGGUACACAUGGAACUCCAAACUCUCUAUAACACUUACAAGACAAAGUUAUUAAUUUCGCCCACCUAAGCUAAUUGAGGAAUUAUAAAAAAUAUUUAUAAAAAUUAUUACUCUAUACCUUGAUGUAGGAACUCAUUUACGAUUGACGUAAUUCCUUUGAUAAUCACUACAGCGCAUUUCCGUAUAAUUAACGGUGCUUGGACGGUCUUGUGUAGUCGACACAUGUUUUUCUAUGAAUAAUUUUAUACAUCCAUAGAACGAAAAAAAACCCAUCACGCCAGAUAAUACAUUGUCACUUGAUAUGUUAACUAAUUCCCAUCCGUUGGCUCACAUUGGACAUCUAACCAUUAUGUGGAGACAGUCUUCCACUCGAUCAUAGUUGGUAACAUUGUAUAUUUCCAUCUCAAAUUUUCGAAAUGUGUAUCACAUUGAAUAACAACCAAUUCUUUACGGCCGCCAAUAUAUCGUGGUACAUUAUUAUUCACGACUAAAUUUUCAUCCCAAUAGAUAUAAAAAAAAAACACAUUCGCCGGACAUAGAGUUCUAAAGUUAAAUAAUAAAAUGUACAAAAGUAUUAUACUCAUAACAAAUUAAUAUAGCACAUCUCUAACAUACAACAAAAGAGAGGGUGAGAGAUGAAAUUACCAUUUUGCGAAAACGAUUUAUACGAUUUUUAUGCCGAUUAAGAGCUCUGGAGGAAAAGGGGUGAUGACAGAGAGAGAAAGUAAUCUGUGAGAGAGACAGAGAGAGAAUGAUCUGUGUGUAAGAGAGAGAGCGGGUGAUAUGUGAGAGAGAAAGAGGAGGUUCUGUGGGGAGAAGGGGGAAAGAGGGGGGUGGGAGGGGGGGGUUGGGGGGAGGUAACUCGAAAUCACCAACCUAUAUCAGCUUGGGUUCGGAAGAGAGUGAGAGGAAGAGAAAGGGUGAGAGUGAGAGAUUUUUACCUCCGUCAGAAAAAAGGGGGUGCAUGCGCAGUGAGAGAGUAAGAAGAAGAGAGAGAGAGAGAGAGGUGGGGUUCUAGUGUUAGAGAGAGAAAGAGGGUAGGUUGAUAGCUAGG
RNAcentral lists this long non-coding RNA (2220 nucleotides) under Ananas comosus (pineapple). Its description in RNAcentral is "long non-coding RNA (ACOM_LNC030215)". The record is from RNAcentral. Lineage: Eukaryota; Viridiplantae; Streptophyta; Magnoliopsida; Poales; Bromeliaceae.